Molecule: ribosomal RNA, 253 nt
Filed under: uncultured bacterium
Lineage: Bacteria
Description: partial 16S ribosomal RNA
Rfam family: Bacterial small subunit ribosomal RNA
Source: RNAcentral
UACGAAGGACCCGAGCGUUAUCCGGAUUUAUUGGGUUUAAAGGGUGCGUAGGCGGAUUAGUAAGUCAGUGGUGAAAGCCCAUCGCUUAACGGUGGAAUUGCCAUUGAUACUGCUAGUCUUGAGUAUGGUUGAGGUGGGCGGAAUGUGUCAUGUAGCGGUGAAAUGCUUAGAUAUGACCCAGAACACCAAUUGCGAAGGCAGCUCGCUAAGCCAUAACUGACGCUGAUGCACGAAAGCGUGGGUAGCAAACAGG